CGAGUGGGCCAAGCGAUCGCGCGCGAAAGCGUGAGGAAAGUCCGGGCUCCAAAGGGCAGGAUGCCAGCUAACGGCUGGGCGGGGCGACCCGACGGAAAGUGCCACAGAAAAGAAAACUCCCCUGUUAUCAGGAGAUAAGCUGAAACGGUGCGGUAAAAGCGCACCAGCACAACGGUAACGUUGUGGCUUGGUAAACCCCAUCCGGAGCAAGCGCUCAUAGGAACGCCAUACGGCUGCCCUUCCGUGCGUUCGGGUUGCGUGCUAGAGAUGUGUGGCGACAUGCAUUCGAGAUAAAUGAUCGCUCAACGACAGAACCCGGCUUAUAGACCCACUCGCCCA
Molecule: RNase P RNA, 339 nt
Filed under: bacterium D16-34
Lineage: Bacteria
Also listed under: 1 other name
Description: Bacterial RNase P class A
Rfam family: Bacterial RNase P class A
About the family: Ribonuclease P (RNase P) is a ubiquitous endoribonuclease, found in archaea, bacteria and eukarya as well as chloroplasts and mitochondria.
Source: Rfam by way of RNAcentral